This 473-nucleotide ribosomal RNA is filed under the name uncultured bacterium. Its description in RNAcentral is "partial 16S ribosomal RNA". It matches the Rfam family "Bacterial small subunit ribosomal RNA", at positions 28 to 507 of the family's 1533-position model. The record is from RNAcentral.
GAUGAACGCUAGCGGCAGGCCUAAUACAUGCAAGUCGAACGGGCGGUAGCAAUACCGCUAGUGGCGCACGGGUGCGUAACGCGUAACCAACCUGCCCAGAUCUGGGGGAUAGCCCACCGAAAGGCGGAUUAAUACCGCAUAAACCCACAGUGUGGCAUCACAUAAUGGGUAAAGAUUUAUCGGAUCUGGAUGGGGUUGCGUAGCAUUAGCUAGUUGGCGGGGUAAUGGCCCACCAAGGCGACGAUGCUUAGGGGACCUGAGAGGGUGAUCCCCCACACUGGCACUGAGAUACGGGCCAGACUCCUACGGGAGGCAGCAGUAGGGAAUAUGGGGCAAUGGGCGAGAGCCUGACCCAGCCAUGCCGCGUGCCGGAUGAAGGCCUUCUGGGUUGUAAACGGCUUUUCUCAGGGAAGAAAACGGGGAUGCGUCCUCAACUGACGGUACCUGAGGAAUAAGCACCGGCUAACUCCGUG